RNAcentral lists this ribosomal RNA (253 nucleotides) under uncultured bacterium. Its description in RNAcentral is "partial 16S ribosomal RNA". It matches the Rfam family "Bacterial small subunit ribosomal RNA", at positions 524 to 776 of the family's 1533-position model. The record is from RNAcentral.
UACAGAGGGGGCAAGCGUUGUUCGGAAUUACUGGGCGUAAAGGGCGCGUAGGCGGCCUUCUAAGUCGAACGUGAAAUCCCCGGGCUCAACCUGGGAACUGCGUCCGAUACUGGCAGGCUUGAAUCCGGGAGAGGGAUGUGGAAUUCCAGGUGUAGCGGUGAAAUGCGUAGAUAUCUGGAGGAACACCGGUGGCGAAGGCGGCAUCCUGGACCGGUAUUGACGCUGAGGCGCGAAAGCUAGGGGAGCAAACGGG